AGAGUUUGAUCAUGGCUCAGAUUGAACGCUGGCGGCAGGCUUAACACAUGCAAGUCGAGCGGGGGAAGGUAGCUUGCUACCGGACCUAGCGGCGGACGGGUGAGUAAUGCUUAGGAAUCUGCCUAUUAGUGGGGGACAACAUCUCGAAAGGGAUGCUAAUACCGCAUACGUCCUACGGGAGAAAGCAGGGGAUCUUCGGACCUUGCGCUAAUAGAUGAGCCUAAGUCGGAUUAGCUAGUUGGUGGGGUAAAGGCCUACCAAGGCGACGAUCUGUAGCGGGUCUGAGAGGAUGAUCCGCCACACUGGGACUGAGACACGGCCCAGACUCCUACGGGAGGCAGCAGUGGGGAAUAUUGGACAAUGGGCGCAAGCCUGAUCCAGCCAUGCCGCGUGUGUGAAGAAGGCCUUAUGGUUGUAAAGCACUUUAAGCGAGGAGGAGGCUACUUUAGAUAAUACCUAGAGAUAGUGGACGUUACUCGCAGAAUAAGCACCGGCUAACUCUGUGCCAGCAGCCGCGGUAAUACAGAGGGUGCAAGCGUUAAUCGGAUUUACUGGGCGUAAAGCGCGCGUAGGCGGCUAAUUAAGUCAAAUGUGAAAUCCCCGAGCUUAACUUGGGAAUUGCAUUCGAUACUGGUUAGCUAGAGUGUGGGAGAGGAUGGUAGAAUUCCAGGUGUAGCGGUGAAAUGCGUAGAGAUCUGGAGGAAUACCGAUGGCGAAGGCAGCCAUCUGGCCUAACACUGACGCUGAGGUGCGAAAGCAUGGGGAGCAAACAGGAUUAGAUACCCUGGUAGUCCAUGCCGUAAACGAUGUCUACUAGCCGUUGGGGCCUUUGAGGCUUUAGUGGCGCAGCUAACGCGAUAAGUAGACCGCCUGGGGAGUACGGUCGCAAGACUAAAACUCAAAUGAAUUGACGGGGGCCCGCACAAGCGGUGGAGCAUGUGGUUUAAUUCGAUGCAACGCGAAGAACCUUACCUGGCCUUGACAUAGUAAGAACUUUCCAGAGAUGGAUUGGUGCCUUCGGGAACUUACAUACAGGUGCUGCAUGGCUGUCGUCAGCUCGUGUCGUGAGAUGUUGGGUUAAGUCCCACAACGAGCGCAACCCUUUUCCUU
RNAcentral lists this ribosomal RNA (1110 nucleotides) under Acinetobacter sp. 25977_4. Its description in RNAcentral is "bacterial SSU rRNA". It matches the Rfam family "Bacterial small subunit ribosomal RNA", at positions 8 to 1112 of the family's 1533-position model. Lineage: Bacteria; Pseudomonadati; Pseudomonadota; Gammaproteobacteria; Moraxellales; Moraxellaceae. The record is from RNAcentral.